AUUGAACGCUGGCGGCAUGCCUUACACAUGCAAGUCGAACGGCAGCACGGGAGCAAUCCUGGUGGCGAGUGGCGAACGGGUGAGUAAUAUAUCGGAACGUGCCCAGUCGUGGGGAUAACGUAGCGAAAGCUACGCUAAUACCGCAUACGAUCUAUGGAUGAAAGCGGGGGAUCGCAAGACCUCGCGCGAUUGGAGCGGCCGAUAUCAGAUUAGGUAGUUGGUGAGGUAAAGGCUCACCAAGCCGACGAUCUGUAGCUGGUCUGAGAGGACGACCAGCCACACUGGGACUGAGACACGGCCCAGACUCCUACGGGAGGCAGCAGUGGGGAAUUUUGGACAAUGGGCGCAAGCCUGAUCCAGCAAUGCCGCGUGCAGGAUGAAGGCCUUCGGGUUGUAAACUGCUUUGUACGGUACGAAACGGUGAGCUCUAAUACAGUUGCUAAUGACGGUACCGUAAGAAUAAG
Molecule: ribosomal RNA, 464 nt
Filed under: uncultured bacterium
Lineage: Bacteria
Description: bacterial SSU rRNA
Rfam family: Bacterial small subunit ribosomal RNA
Source: RNAcentral